Priapulus caudatus is the source of this 887-nucleotide long non-coding RNA. RefSeq lists it as uncharacterized. The transcript has 2 exons. Lineage: Eukaryota; Metazoa; Priapulida; Priapulimorpha; Priapulimorphida; Priapulidae. The record is from RefSeq and is a predicted model, not a curated record.
AAGAUAACCAGUCCACGCCCGCCUUUCUUGCCGCCGUUUACAGAUUUCUCCUGUUCUAACCUGUUCUGUUCUGUUCUGUUUAACCUGUUCUGUUCCUGUUCUGUUAGUAAAUCUACGUUGUAAAGAACAGCAGUGGCCUACCCCGUGAUCCACGGCGUAAAGAUUCUUAGACAAGCCACAAGGUAACCAGUCCACGAACUAUAACGCGGUCUAGCCUAUAGUACUGCUCAAGAGUCAAGGGGUCGUUGUCGUAUCACUAUCAGAUAAACAGAAUCAUCGAAAAACCGAUUGCCAUAAGCAAUGGUUAAUGGGGCAUGCACUGAAUUAGAUGAAGAGCCUCAGCCUCAGCCACAGAUGAGAGUGAAGAUAGGUUCUUCUCCCACUACUACUGUCACCACACCCCUAAUGGGUCAGCAGCAAUCAGCCGAGGCAUAUUUAGCGAAACACAAAAUUCUUCAAAGAUUUCAGGUACAAGAUUAUAAAUAUAUUAUUUAGUAUACUGCCACCUUGAAGAGGCCCUACCCACAUUAAACGAAAUUCCUUAAUGUAAUUUUAUUAGCAUUUGUAAACUAAAUAAUUUCCCAAUGCUGCUGCUGUUGGCAGGAUAUGAUGUCAUUACUGGUUGUUGAACAGCCUGACGAUCCAAUUGGAUACCUAUAUGACAAUCUGUCGGAUGUAUGGAAGCAGUGAGAACAGCCAACAGCUAACAUAAGUUGCGAGUAGUAUUUCACUUCUACUAAAGUAAUGUGUAUAUAUUACUGUGUAUAUAUGUAAUAAAAUGUCCUGUUCAAUUUGUAUUCAAAUAGCACAUUUGUAUUCAAGUUUAUGUAGUGUACUGUAAAAACUUAUAGUAGCAAUUACAUAAUAAAAACACCAAAAGUACUGAU